RNAcentral lists this ribosomal RNA (577 nucleotides) under Salmonella enterica. Its description in RNAcentral is "partial 23S ribosomal RNA". It matches the Rfam family "Bacterial large subunit ribosomal RNA", at positions 711 to 1284 of the family's 2925-position model. Lineage: Bacteria; Pseudomonadati; Pseudomonadota; Gammaproteobacteria; Enterobacterales; Enterobacteriaceae. The record is from RNAcentral.
AGACCCGAAACCCGGUGAUCUAGCCAUGGGCAGGUUGAAGGUUGGGUAACACUAACUGGAGGACCGAACCGACUAAUGUUGAAAAAUUAGCGGAUGACCUGUGGCUGGGGGUGAAAGGCCAAUCAAACCGGGAGAUAGCUGGUUCUCCCCGAAAGCUAUUUAGGUAGCGCCUCGUGAAUUCAUCUCCGGGGGUAGAGCACUGUUUCGGCUAGGGGGCCAUCCCGGCUUACCAACCCGAUGCAAACUGCGAAUACCGGAGAAUGUUAUCACGGGAGACACACGGCGGGUGCUAACGUCCGUCGUGAAGAGGGAAACAACCCAGACCGCCAGCUAAGGUCCCAAAGUCAUGGUUAAGUGGGAAACGAUGUGGGAAGGCCCAGACAGCCAGGAUGUUGGCUUAGAAGCAGCCAUCAUUUAAAGAAAGCGUAAUAGCUCACUGGUCGAGUCGGCCUGCGCGGAAGAUGUAACGGGGCUAAACCAUGCACCGAAGCUGCGGCAGCGACGCUUAUGCGUUGUUGGGUAGGGGAGCGUUCUGUAAGCCUGCGAAGGUGGCCUGUGAGGGUUGCUGGAGGUAUCA